ACGAACGCUGGCGGCAUGCCUAACACAUGCCAGUCGAACGAGACCUUCGGGUCUAGUGGCGCACGGGUGCGUAACGCGUGGGAACCUGCCCUUAGGUUCGGAAUAACUCCCCGCAAGGGGUGCUAAUACCGGAUAAUGUCUUCGGACCAAAGAUUUAUCGCCUUUGGAUGGGCCCGCGUUGGAUUAGCUAGUUGGUAGGGUAAAAGCCUACCAAGGCGACGAUCCAUAGCUGGUCUGAGAGGAUGAUCAGCCACACUGGGACUGAGACACGGCCCAGACUCCUGCGGGAGGCAGCAGGGGGGAAUGUUGGAAAAGGGGGGAAAGCCUAAUCCAGCAAUGCCGGGGGGGUGAUAAAGGCCUUGGGGUUGUAAAGCUCUUUUACCCGGGAUGAUAAUGACAGUACCGGGAGAAAAAGCCCCGGCGAACCCCGU
This 431-nucleotide ribosomal RNA is filed under the name uncultured bacterium. RNAcentral describes it as "partial 16S ribosomal RNA". It matches the Rfam family "Bacterial small subunit ribosomal RNA", at positions 29 to 506 of the family's 1533-position model. The record is from RNAcentral.